Molecule: ribosomal RNA, 330 nt
Filed under: uncultured eukaryote
Lineage: Eukaryota
Description: partial 18S ribosomal RNA
Rfam family: Eukaryotic small subunit ribosomal RNA
Source: RNAcentral
CCCUUAGAUGUUCUGGGCCGCACGCGCGCUACACUGGUGCGUUCAACAAGUUUACAACCUUGAUUGACAAGUCUGGGUAAUCUUUUGAAUGCGCACCGUGCUAGGGAUAGAUUAUUGCAAUUAUUAAUCUUGAACGAGGAAUUCCUAGUAAACGCAAGUCAUCAGCUUGCAUUGAUUACGUCCCUGCCCUUUGUACACACCGCCCGUCGCACCUACCGAUUGAAUGGUCCGGUGAAUCUUUAGGACUGUGGCUGAGGCCUUGCCUUGUGCGGGUCUGGCCGUGGGAAUUUAGUUAAACCUUACCAUUUAGAGGAAGGUGAANUCGUANCA